GAAGAUGAGCGAAACUAAAUAUGCAGGGCUACGCUCGUAGACGCUGAAGCAAUCGACGUUUCUGGACGUGGGUUCGACUCCCACCGUCUCCA
This 92-nucleotide transfer RNA is filed under the name Bacillus licheniformis DSM 13 = ATCC 14580. RNAcentral's name for it is "tRNA-Arg (TCG) (tRNA-Arg-TCG-1-1)". It matches the Rfam family "transfer-messenger RNA", at positions 281 to 371 of the family's 374-position model. Rfam says of the family: Bacterial tmRNA, also known as 10Sa RNA or SsrA, is named for its dual tRNA and mRNA-like properties. Lineage: Bacteria; Bacillati; Bacillota; Bacilli; Caryophanales; Bacillaceae. The record is from RNAcentral.